RNAcentral lists this ribosomal RNA (468 nucleotides) under uncultured bacterium. RNAcentral describes it as "partial 16S ribosomal RNA". It matches the Rfam family "Bacterial small subunit ribosomal RNA", at positions 28 to 507 of the family's 1533-position model. The record is from RNAcentral.
GACGAACGCUGGCGGCGUGCUUAACACAUGCAAGUCGAACGGAAAGGCCCUGCUUUUGUGGUGUGCUCGAGUGGCGAACGGGUGAGUAACACGUGAGUAACCUGCCCUUGACUUUGGGAUAACUUCAGGAAACUGGGGCUACUACCGGAUAGGAGCUCCUGCUGCAUGGAGGGGGUUGGAACGUUUCGGCGGUUGGGGAUGGACUCGCGGCUUAUCAGCUUGUUGGUGGGGUAGUGGCUGACCAAGGCAGUGACGGGUAGCCGGCCUGAGAGGGUGACCGGCCUCCUUAGGCCUGCGGGAGGGCGCAGUCGCCUAUGGGAGACAGCGGUGGGGAACAUGACCCAGUCGGAGCGAGUCUGUUGCGGCGGCGCUGCGGUCGUAAUGACGUCCUUCUGGUUGUAAACCGCAUUCGCCUGUGACGAAGCUGUAGUGACGGUAAUGAGUGAAGAAGCACCGGCUAACUACGUG